Molecule: long non-coding RNA, 5264 nt
Filed under: Gallus gallus (chicken)
Lineage: Eukaryota; Metazoa; Chordata; Aves; Galliformes; Phasianidae
Source: RNAcentral
UUUUUUAAAUAGUAUUUUUAGUAGCUAGUUUUAAUUUAUCCAAGUGACCAAAACACAAAGUAUACAUGUCUAAAAGAAGAUGUGAAAGACCAGGGUUCACAAUUCAAUCCAGUUAAAACAGGGCUUUCUUUGUAGUUAAAAACAUCUCUGAAAAUGGGGUUGUCCCCCCCCCCCCCCCCUCACAGAUGCAAUUUGAGUCUCAGCAUGAAAUAGUAAGGAAAAUAUACUAGAACUGUUCUUUCUGGGUCAUUAUGGCUGCUGUAUAUGAUGAUGCCUGUACCUAUUUUACAGCUGGGGGAAGUGCAUUUUUUUUGUAAGCUUAGUGAGUAGAUCAAUCUAAAAUGACUUUUGUACUUGCUUAGCCUGAUGGUACUUCAAUUCUGUAUGCACCUUACUUUUUAAUCCUUAAAUCUUUGAUUUUCUUCAUACUGUAAAAAGUCUCAGUCUUGAUAUUAAGAUAACAGGUAAUAGUUAUACCUAAGGUCCCCAAGUCUGACACUCGUGCUUUACAGGCAUUUCAGAUAAACACCAAUUUGCAGGUCAUCUCACUGCAUUUUCAGGAACACUCUUCAGCCAAAAUAUAGUGGUGACUGCACUUUUAUUUUAGACAGAGCACCUUACACAAAAGCUUUUCUAGACUGAAAGCUUGCGUCUGUUCUUAUUGAAUGUAUAAAUAAGAGACUCAUUAGGCUCUGAGGAAAGAAAAAGAUGUGGUCAUAGCUUUGUGUGUUAUGAUGAUAAAAACUGUCCACUGGAAAGAACAAGACUAGUGCUCCAGUAUGUUCCUGAGAUCUGUUUUAUGUGUUUUACAUGCAUUUAAAAGAAUAGCAUGAAUUGUUUUUAAAAAAAUCUUUGCAACAUGAACUUGUCUCCCAGAUAAGGGUGCACACAGUAGCUUCAGAAAGAGGAAUUCCCUAUUCCACUUGUGAGAAUGGAAUUGUGAGUAGAAUUGUAGGAGACAAAUUGGAGGCUCUAGAUUUGAAGUGAGAAAGGGCACAUCGUGGUUGUGAUAGUGAAAGCAUGCUAGUCUGUAUUUUCUCUCCUGUAAAUUCCCUGAGAUGUGGAUUGUGACUUAUUUUGUUUCUACUUUGCCUAGUAACACAUUGUUUGAGGACUUUUCAGCUAUUGCUCUCAUUACUGCAUAAUGUGAUUUUUAGGUCACAUUUCAUCAUUGUAUCCAAGUACAGGAUCUACUUCAAACAUAGGUCUAAAUUCCACUGCUUGCAGUGUAACUUAAGCAUUGUGUCCUUUGGGUUUAAAGCCUUUCAAGUACUUCCUGUUUACUGUUCAUAAAAUACUGAAAUAAAAAUGAGCUGUGGAAUGGCAAUAGACCAUAUAUUAUGAUAUCGAUAACAGUUGGGCUGUGUCAGGAAUUUGUCUGGUUUGCAGUCUUACUGUCAACCACAGUCGAGUGUGAUUUUUUUUUCCUUUUUUUCCUCUUUAAACACUGUCUGUAGAAGAUAGUUAAAUGAGUAUAAUGAAAGUCAGUACUGAAAUAUCUUCAAGAUGUGCCUUAGCCAUUGUCUGGCCAUGUACCUUCCUGUGUGUGGGCUGCUUCCAGACGUUCAGCUCCAGAAACAAAAACAUCACAUACAGCAGAAAUUUUGAUUUUUCUUUUCUUAUUCCAAGUGAACUGACGAAUGCUGACAGACAAAAAUCCUGUGAAUACUGUAAUGCUGUUACUGUUCCCUUAGUGUCUAGUAAAUUUGAUUUAGAAUUGUGCUGUGAUAUCUGAGUUAACUUUUGACUAAUCAGCCCUUCACUAUCUCCACCUCCCUCUCCUCCCACCCCUCCCCCCAAAAAAGAAGCCUGUAAUAAGUAAGCAAAUGAAUUUGUAUCAUAUGUUUUUCUUGAUUUCUCUCUGUAGUCACAACCUCAAACUUAGCUUAAAGCUGAUAGUUGACAAUCUUUUCAAAAUCACUUGCAACAUGAGUUGCUCUAUUUUUUCUUUCCUGAGUCAGUUUUUGAUUCUCAUUACACACCGUGUUUCUAGAAAUAAGACCAUGUCUGUACAGGUAACUCGAUGUAAUUAGAAGUCCAUUUUUUGGUAUAGUUAAUCAAGCUACUUUGUUUAUGUGUAGUGUCAUUAUAUAAGUAUACUCACAGCUUUUAGUGGCUUUUGGUUUGUUUCACUUCCAAAAGGAUUCUUAAGUCUCAUUUCAGUUCAUAAGAGUAGUAAAAGUUCUUCUGUGUGAAUGAGACGUUGAUCCAUUGUCCUGAUGCCUGUACUGUAAGCAGUAGCUAUUGAAUUUCUUCCACAAAACCCAAAUGUCUUAGAAAUUUGGGAGGGAAAAAACUAGCCUUGAGAUUCAAUCACAGAUUCUUUUGUGGCUUUAUUUUUUUUUUCAGGUUCAUGGCUGCAUGAAUAAAUUAUGUAUUGUGUUAAUAUUUCCUGAUUUACGAUUCUUAAAAAAAAAAAGUACUGUUACCUAGGUAAGUUUAUUCCUUUAAUUUUUGAUAGAAGUCUUACAGAGAAGAAGUACUGGAAACCUUUGAUCGCAUCCCUUCAGCCAUUGUAGGGAGGAACCUAUUGUCUUUCUCAGUUCUUGUGCUUCCUGUUUUCUUAGUUAUUGAUUGAUUCUCAUGCUUCUAGUAGUUAUCUAGAUAUCUUGUCACUAUGUCAAUGACAAGAAUUUCACUUAUUUUUCAGCAGUCUAAACCAAAACCCACUGAGAAACAUAGGAAAGUUUUUCAUUAGCUGUUACGGGCUUAGAAAUGUUUAUGUUUUAGUAACAACUAAAUGGCUCUUUAAGGCAGAGAUGACCACCAGAUCAUUUACUGGCAACUCUGUGUCUAGAAUAUGAACCAAGUCAAUACAACUGCGCUACUACUUGUAACUGCAGUAGUGUUAGUGGGGCUGUCUCUGUUCUGUGUGGCCUUGUGUUAUGUAGGCAUACUAUAAACUUAACUUUGUUUUUGUUUUUCUUGAUUCAAAUUCAAGAGAAGAGAUGCUAUUCCCUUAGUGCAAAGGAAAUCAUAAGUUCAGACCAUGAGCCCUAUUGAUGUAUGCAAAGUGCUUUGUGUCUUUGAGCAUGUAAAUUAUAUGAAGGGCAAGCUAUUCAUCUUCACAAUUUCUUUUGGCCUUGGAGUAUUUAUAGAGACUCCCUGUGGAGCUGCACAGUCAAGCAUCCCCCAGCUGUAGAACAGCUUAUGAACAGCACUCUGAAGAGUAUGUAUACACAUGGAAAACAAAUUAAGGCAAGCCUGAAGCAAGAAUGUUAUUUCUGCAGCUUCACUUUAUCUGUAAAAAAAAUUGUAAAAAAAGUUUUUUCAAUUCCUUCUUUGGAGGACUUUUUGUUACUGCUCAAGGUUAGCUUCAAGUGGGGGUAAGUAUUGCAUCCACUGUUCCAAUGGCUAACAGGCAUUUAGGAUCAGUCCUGUAUUGGAUGUUCAGCUGUUUGUAAGCCCUGCAGUAGAUUCUAAAAACACCUGGAUGAGUGGAAAAGGGAGCUGUAAAUAGGAUACAUGAAAAACAGAAGGCUUAGAUUCUAUGGCAGGGGAAAGGUUUGGUGCCCAGAGUAAGAAAUAGGGUACAAUAAAAAUACAAAACUAUUAAAUAGACUUAUAAACACUUUUCAUCUAUAUGUAUAGAUUUCUUUAGUUAUAAAGGAGAAGCUGAAAGAAACGACUGACAACAUGCAGAAAGGCAAAUGUAGAUUAAAACGGUGAUGACGAAACAGAAGGCCAAGAAGAGGGAAUGGGAACCAGCAGGUAGGCUGCACAGGACAGAGGGAGUCCACAGGUCCUUGCUGGCAGUGGUCCAUAAGGGGAGAAUCUGUUGCUGGUUCUGUGAGCAAUGUUUCUGAGAAAGUCCUAGCUAGUCCUAAGUUCUUCAGAAUAGGGCAACCAUUCUGCAAGUCUGAGCUGGGUAUAUUGGUUGACCAUUUUCUAUCUAUAUACUAUAUAUAGUAUUUCUUUGAAUAAAUAUUUAACAUUAGUGGUCACUAUUGUGACUCCUUGUUUCGUAUGUGUUGUUUUUAUUUUUAUUUAGAUCCAGAGAGUUGUAGUUCUAGAUGUAAAUCUAUGAAACAUUUCAUUGCCAUGUUAUGAGCUAUAGAUAUUUCAGCCACUUGUGGACCGUUUUAAUAUUUUCUUUCCUGUUUCAGUGAGCAUCUAUUCAUUUUAUACCUGACCAGGAACAAAUUUUAAGCGUGUAUACUGAUCUUUCCAACUUGGGGAGAUUUUGUUUGUAUCUGAGUACACAAACUGGAUUCCUUUCAGACAAUUAAUUCUAAACCAACAGUUAUGUGUCCUUAGCACCAGGUGUUUUGCUCUUCAUGUCCCUUUUUACUCCACUGUGCUGCUUGUUAUAGCUGAUAUUAGACACAGAAGGGAAAAAGGAAAAUGACAAGUAUUGAUAAAAACAGAAAUGAAGCCUUGAGCUACAGUAUCGCUAGAGCCCUUGAACCCGGACAGUGAACCUGUAGUUUAAAAGGAACCACACAGUUUAAGAACCUCUAUUUGGAAUGUGAAGCAUUUUGUAUGAAAUUAUUAGCACAGUUUUUUUGUGUUAUACUUUACCUAAUCAUGUUCAUGUAAGGAGCUUCAGGAAUACCAGUAGACCUGGAGGGUCCAGUUUAUCCUUCCUUUUUUCAAGGACAUUUGACUUAAUGAGAGUUGUCUAGAUAAUUAACAGAAGUUAAAUGGUAAAGAAUAUUUAAUCAUGCUUUUUAGCAGUAAACCAGAAUUUUUUUCAGAAGGAACACUUAAUAUUAAUGGACCUGGAACAUGUGCUAAUUCUUUAAGUUAUCUUAAAUACCAUCUGCUCCUGUCACUUUUUUGGAUAUUUUUCACCAUCUGAGAAGCCUCUCACAAGGCAAAUUUCCAUCAGUUUCAAAUAGUUACUUCAGUUUUUUGUUCUCUUCCUUUAUGAAUGUGCUUCUUGUUAGGUCAUUUAAGUUAUGGCACUACAAAAAUAAAUUACUUCUUGCUCUUCCAUAGAAGACAAGCUAGGGAUGAAUUUGUAGCUUUUCCAUAGAGGGUAAGAGAUUCUGAUCUUCAAAUAUGUAGGAAUUAUGAUCUUCUUUAAAUGUAGGGUCUUAAGUACGACUCUUCUAGUUAUAGAUCCUUAAGGCUAACUAGAAAAACCUGAAUUUGUACAGUUUUGGAGUUUAAAGCUCAUCUUUGAUUUUGGACUUUUUAAAAUGGUCACUGGUAUUCUGGAUCAAGAGCUGUAUUCUGUAUCUAUCCCUUGUGGUGUGCUGGCAAAGGGCAGGGCUUGCUGAAAAUUUGCACUAUUUAAGUUUAGAGCAUGUAGGCUCUUU